This is a long non-coding RNA of Setaria italica (foxtail millet), 766 nucleotides long. RefSeq lists it as uncharacterized. The record is from RefSeq and is a predicted model, not a curated record. NCBI's taxonomy places the organism in Eukaryota, Viridiplantae, Streptophyta, Magnoliopsida, Poales, Poaceae. The transcript has 6 exons.
GCAUCGGUGAGGAAUCCGCACCUUCCCUCGCCCGGCUCGCAGGCUACAGCAGGAGUGGAGAUGGCACUGAUUGACGCGGUUGCUAACAGCAUUCACAUCCCUCUGUGGUGAUUAUUUGGAGGGGCAUCAGAUACUGUGACCACGGACAUAAUGGUUGCUCCAGCCAGCAAAUUGAAAGAAAUAUUACUUUGUUCACGACCUUAUAUAUGUUGAAUCAGCCGCUAAAAUUGUUCUUGAAGCAUAUGGAUGCAGUUUUGUUGAUCUGUACACACCUCAUUUACUGUCGGAAGAUCCAGUGUAUGGUGGCUAUGAAGGUUUGGCUUCAUGAGAUCAUAGGAGGAAAUGUGGUUACCAGAAAUGAGACAAUCAGUGAUGAUUCCGGUGAGGACCCAACCUGCAGUAGGAGCUAGGCUUGCCGACCGAUGAAAAAUGCCCUGGAUGUUGAGUAAAUGGCUGGUGGCUUGGGAGAAUUGCAGGAGCCGUGGUGCAGAGUUUGUGGACUAAUCUUCCCAUAUGCAGUGGGUGCGUCUUGUUUCUGAUGUUCAAAACUUCAAUUAGUUUUUCCCCUGUGUCUCUGGUGCUCUCUUUCCUGGAUGAGGUGUAGUAGGUGAAUUUUCACGUUUGGCUCCUGAUCACCUAGAAUUCGUAAAAGACAUGACAUAUCCUACUGUUUGAUGGAAAACAACUCCCACCAAGAGAUCUGCAGUUUUUUUUUCUAUUUGCGUGUGAACUUUUGAAAUAUUUAUUUUUUCAGCAUUUGCAGACU